AGAUUGAACGCUGGCGGCAUGCCUUACACAUGCAAGUCGAACGGCAGCACGGGAGCAAUCCUGGUGGCGAGUGGCGAACGGGUGAGUAAUACAUCGGAACGUGCCCAAUCGUGGGGGAUAACGCAGCGAAAGCUGUGCUAAUACCGCAUAAGAUCUACGGAUGAAAGCGAGGGGAUCGCAAGACCUUGCGCGAAUGGAGCGGCCGAUGGCAGAUUAGGUAGUUGGUGAGGUAAAGGCUACACCAAGCCUUCGAUCUGUAGCUGGUCU
This 267-nucleotide ribosomal RNA is filed under the name uncultured soil bacterium. Its description in RNAcentral is "partial 16S ribosomal RNA". It matches the Rfam family "Bacterial small subunit ribosomal RNA", at positions 26 to 293 of the family's 1533-position model. The record is from RNAcentral.